Molecule: ribosomal RNA, 288 nt
Filed under: uncultured bacterium
Lineage: Bacteria
Description: partial 16S ribosomal RNA
Rfam family: Bacterial small subunit ribosomal RNA
Source: RNAcentral
AACGAACGCUGGCGGCAGGCCUAACACAUGCAAGUCGAACGCCGUAGCGAAUACGGAGUGGCAGACGGGUGAGUAACGCGUGGGAACAUACCCCUCGGUUCGGAAUAACUCAGGGAAACUUGAGCUAAUACCGGAUACGUCCGAGGUUUUGAUCGACCUUGGAGAAAGAUUUAUCGCCGAAGGAUUGGCCCGCGUCUGAUUAGCUUGUUGGUGAGGUAAUGGCUCACCAAGGCGACGAUCAGUAGCUGGUCUGAGAGGAUGAUCAGCCACAUUGGGACUGAGACACGG